GAUGAACGCUGGCGGCGUGCUUAACACAUGCAAGUCGAACGGAAAGGCCCUGCUUUUGUGGGGUGCUCGAGUGGCGAACGGGUGAGUAACACGUGAGUAACCUGCCCUUGACUUUGGGAUAACUUCAGGAAACUGGGGCUAAUACCGGAUAGGAGCUCCUGCUGCAUGGUGGGGGUUGGAAAGUUUCGGCGGUUGGGGAUGGACUCGCGGCUUAUCAGCUUGUUGGUGGGGUAGUGGCUUACCAAGGCUUUGACGGGUAGCCGGCCUGAGAGGGUGACCGGCCACAUUGGGACUGAGGUACGGCCCAGACUCCUACGGGAGGCAGCGGUGGGGAAUAUUGCACAAUGGGCGGAAGCCUGAUGCAGCAACGCCGCGUGCGGGAUGACGGCCUUCGGGUUGUAAACCGCUUUCGCCUGUGACGAAGCGUGAGUGACGGUAAUGGGUAAAGAAGCACCGGCUAACUACGUG
This 468-nucleotide ribosomal RNA is filed under the name uncultured bacterium. RNAcentral's name for it is "partial 16S ribosomal RNA". It matches the Rfam family "Bacterial small subunit ribosomal RNA", at positions 28 to 507 of the family's 1533-position model. The record is from RNAcentral.